UACGGGGGGGGCUAGCGUUGCUCGGAAUCACUGGGCGUAAAGCGCACGUAGGCGGCUUUGUAAGUUAGGGGUGAAAGCCUGGAGCUCAACUUCAGAAUUGCCCUUAAGACUGCAUCGCUUGAAUCCAGGAGAGGUGAGUGGAAUUCCGAGUGUAGAGGUGAGAUUCGUAGAUAUUCGGAAGAACACCAGUGGCGAAGGCGGCUCACUGGACUGGUAUUGACGCUGAGGUGCGAAAGCGUGGGGAGCAAACAGG
This 253-nucleotide ribosomal RNA is filed under the name uncultured bacterium. Its description in RNAcentral is "partial 16S ribosomal RNA". It matches the Rfam family "Bacterial small subunit ribosomal RNA", at positions 524 to 776 of the family's 1533-position model. The record is from RNAcentral.